GACGAACGCUGGCGGCGUGCUUAACACAUGCAAGUCGAACGGUGAAGCGCCUUCCUUUUUGGUGGGUGUGGAUGAGUGGCGAACGGGUGAGUAACACGUGAGUAACCUGCCCCCUUCUUGUGGAUAACCGCAUGAAAGUGUGGCUAAUACGGGAUAUUCUGGGUCUGUCGCAUGAUGGGUCUGGGAAAGAUAUUGUUUCGGUGGGGGAUGGGCUCGCGGCCUAUCAGCUUGUUGGUGGGGUGAUGGCCUACCAAGGCGGUGACGGGUAGCCGGCCUGAGAGGGUGGACGGUCACACUGGGACUGAGACACGGCCCAGACUCCUACGGGAGGCAGCAGUGGGGAAUAUUGCACAAUGGGCGCAAGCCUGAUGCAGCGACGCCGCGUGAGGGAUGGAGGCCUUCGGGUUGUGAACCUCUUUCGCCAGUGAAGCAGGCCUGCCUCGUUUGUGGGUGGGUUGACGGUAGCUGGAGAAGAAGCGCCGGCUAACUACGUG
Molecule: ribosomal RNA, 494 nt
Filed under: uncultured bacterium
Lineage: Bacteria
Description: partial 16S ribosomal RNA
Rfam family: Bacterial small subunit ribosomal RNA
Source: RNAcentral